UACGUAGGGGGCAAGCGUUGUCCGGAAUCAUUGGGCGUAAAGCGCGUGUAGGCGGCUGAGUAAGUCUGCUCUGAAAGCCCGGGGCUCAACCCCGGGAGGCGGGUGGAUACUGCUCAGCUCGAGUCCGGAAGAGGAGUGUGGAGUUCCUGGUGUAGCGGUGGAAUGCGCAGAUAUCAGGAGGAACACCGGUGGCGAAGGCGGGUCUCUGGGCCAUUACUGACGCUGAGGAGCGAAAGCGUGGGGAGCGAACAGG
RNAcentral lists this ribosomal RNA (253 nucleotides) under uncultured bacterium. RNAcentral's name for it is "partial 16S ribosomal RNA". It matches the Rfam family "Bacterial small subunit ribosomal RNA", at positions 524 to 776 of the family's 1533-position model. The record is from RNAcentral.